AUUGAACGCUGGCGGCAGGCCUAACACAUGCAAGUCGAACGGUAACAGGAAACAGCUUGCUGUUUCGCUGACGAGUGGCGGACGGGUGAGUAAUGUCUGGGAAACUGCCUGAUGGAGGGGGAUAACUACUGGAAACGGUAGCUAAUACCGCAUAACGUCGCAAGACCAAAGAGGGGGACCUUCGGGCCUCUUGCCAUCGGAUGUGCCCAGAUGGGAUUAGCUAGUAGGUGGGGUAACGGCUCACCUAGGCGACGAUCCCUGGCUGGUCUGAGAGGAUGACCAGCCACACUGGAACUGAGACACGGUCCAGACUCCUACGGGAGGCAGCAGUGGGGAAUAUUGCACAAUGGGCGCAAGCCUGAUGCAGCCAUGCCGCGUGUAUGAAGAAGGCCUUCGGGUUGUAAAGUACUUUCAGCGGGGAGGAAGGGAGUAAAGUUAAUACCUUGACUCAUUGACGUUACCCGCAGAAGAAGCACCGGCUAACUCCGUG
RNAcentral lists this ribosomal RNA (490 nucleotides) under uncultured bacterium. Its description in RNAcentral is "partial 16S ribosomal RNA". It matches the Rfam family "Bacterial small subunit ribosomal RNA", at positions 30 to 507 of the family's 1533-position model. The record is from RNAcentral.